RNAcentral lists this ribosomal RNA (253 nucleotides) under uncultured bacterium. RNAcentral's name for it is "partial 16S ribosomal RNA". It matches the Rfam family "Bacterial small subunit ribosomal RNA", at positions 524 to 776 of the family's 1533-position model. The record is from RNAcentral.
UACGGAGGGUGCAAGCGUUAUCCGGAUUCACUGGGUUUAAAGGGUGCGUAGGUGGGCAGGUAAGUCAGUGGUGAGAUCUCUGGGCUUAACCCAGAAACUGCCGUUGAUACUAUCUGUCUUGAAUAUAGUGGAGGUGAGCGGAAUAUGUCAUGUAGCGGUGAAAUGCUUAGAUAUGACAUAGAACACCCAUUGCGAAGGCAGCUCGCUACACUAUUAUUGACACUGAGGCACGAAAGCGUGGGGAUCAAACAGG